RNAcentral lists this ribosomal RNA (102 nucleotides) under Seriola lalandi dorsalis. Lineage: Eukaryota; Metazoa; Chordata; Actinopteri; Carangiformes; Carangidae. The record is from RNAcentral.
UUUUUUGAUAAUAAAAAACGCCCGAUCUCGUAAGCCAAGCAGGGUCGGGCCUGGUUAGUACUUGGAUGGGAGACCGCCUGGGAAUACCAGGUGCUGUAAGGA